This 398-nucleotide ribosomal RNA is filed under the name uncultured bacterium. RNAcentral's name for it is "partial 16S ribosomal RNA". It matches the Rfam family "Bacterial small subunit ribosomal RNA", at positions 523 to 918 of the family's 1533-position model. The record is from RNAcentral.
AUACGUAGGGUGCGAGCGUUGUCCGGAAUUAUUGGGCGUAAAGAGCUCGUAGGUGGUUUGUCGCGUCGUCUGUGAAAUUCCGGGGCUUAACUCCGGGCGUGCAGGCGAUACGGGCAUAACUUGAGUACUGUAGGGGAGACUGGAAUUCCUGGUGUAGCGGUGAAAUGCGCAGAUAUCAGGAGGAACACCGGUGGCGAAGGCGGGUCUCUGGGCAGUAACUGACGCUGAGGAGCGAAAGCAUGGGUAGCGAACAGGAUUAGAUACCCUGGUAGUCCAUGCCGUAAACGGUGGGCGCUAGGUGUAGGGGUCUUCCACGACUUCUGUGCCGUAGCUAACGCAUUAAGCGCCCCGCCUGGGGAGUACGGCCGCAAGGCUAAAACUCAAAUGAAUUGACGGGG